Non-coding RNA from Podarcis lilfordi (Lilford's wall lizard), 74 nucleotides. NCBI's taxonomy places the organism in Eukaryota, Metazoa, Chordata, Lepidosauria, Squamata, Lacertidae. The record is from the annotation of a GenBank genome assembly.
ACCUGGGGUAGCGCAGCUGGUACAGCACGAGACUCUUAAUCUCAGGGUUGUGGGUUCAAGCCCCACAGCGGGCA